AAUUAUCUCUCCCCCCCCUGGGAGGGAUAAAUUACCGCGGGUUUGUCCUCCAACCCCGUGGAACACACCCAUAAAAAGAGGGUUUGUCGGGCAGAGAGUCCUUGAGCCUCCCGGCCUCCCGCCCCCGGGCGGGUCGGCGCCCGCCGGAGGAUAACCAAACUCUGAUUUAACGACGUUUCUUCUGAGUGGUACAAGCAAAUAAUCAAAACUUUUAACAACGGAUCUCUUGGUUCUGGCAUCGAUGAAGAACGCAGCGAAAUGCGAUAAGUAAUGUGAAUUGCAGAAUUCAGUGAAUCAUCGAAUCUUUGAACGCACAUUGCGCCCGCCAGCAUUCUGGCGGGCAUGCCUGUUCGAGCGUCAUUUCAACCCUCAAGCUCUGCUUGGUGUUGGGGCCCUACAGCUGAUGUAGGCCCUCAAAGGUAGUGGCGGACCCUCCCGGAGCCUCCUUUGCGUAGUAACUUUACGUCUCGCACUGGGAUCCGGAGGGACUCUUGCCGUAAAACCCCCAAUUCUCCAAAGGUUGACACUCGGAUCAGGUAGGAAUGCCGCGCUGAACUUAAGU
This 562-nucleotide ribosomal RNA is filed under the name Colletotrichum gloeosporioides. RNAcentral's name for it is "eukaryotic LSU rRNA". The stretch from base 207 to 360 matches the Rfam family "5.8S ribosomal RNA". The record is from RNAcentral. Lineage: Eukaryota; Fungi; Ascomycota; Sordariomycetes; Glomerellales; Glomerellaceae.